GUUCUAGUAGUUUAAAUUAAAACAUUGAUCUUGUAAAUCAAAAAUAAAUUAAUUUCUUGAUCU
This 63-nucleotide transfer RNA is filed under the name Rhyacophila quadrifida. Its description in RNAcentral is "tRNA-Thr". It matches the Rfam family "tRNA". Rfam says of the family: Transfer RNA (tRNA) molecules are approximately 80 nucleotides in length. Their secondary structure includes four short double-helical elements and three loops (D, anti-codon, and T loops). Further hydrogen bonds mediate the characteristic L-shaped molecular structure. tRNAs have two regions of fundamental functional importance: the anti-codon, which is responsible for specific mRNA codon recognition, and the 3' end, to which the tRNAs corresponding amino acid is attached (by aminoacyl-tRNA synthetases). tRNAs cope with the degeneracy of the genetic code in two manners: having more than one tRNA (with a specific anti-codon) for a particular amino acid; and 'wobble' base-pairing, i.e. permitting non-standard base-pairing at the 3rd anti-codon position. Lineage: Eukaryota; Metazoa; Arthropoda; Insecta; Trichoptera; Rhyacophilidae. The record is from RNAcentral.